UACGUAGGGUGCAAGCGUUGUCCGGAACUAUUGGGCGUAAAGAGCUUGUAGGCGGUUUGUCGCGUCUGCUGUGAAAACCUAAGGCUCAACCUUGGGCUUGCAGUGGGUACGGGCAGACUAGAGUGCGGUAGGGGUGACUGGAAUUCCUGGUGUAGCGGUGGAAUGCGCAGAUAUCAGGAGGAACACCGAUGGCGAAGGCAGGUCACUGGGCCGCAACUGACGCUGAGGAGCGAAAGCAUGGGGAGCGAACAGG
Molecule: ribosomal RNA, 253 nt
Filed under: uncultured bacterium
Lineage: Bacteria
Description: partial 16S ribosomal RNA
Rfam family: Bacterial small subunit ribosomal RNA
Source: RNAcentral